CAGCAGCCACGGGAAUACGUAGGGUGCAAGCGUUAAUCGGAAUUACUGGGCGUAAAGCGUGCGCAGGCGGUUUGUUAAGACAGAUGUGAAAUCCCCGGGCUUAACCUGGGAACUGCAUUUGUGACUGGCGGGCUAGAGUAUGGCAGAGGGGGGUAGAAUUCCACGUGUAGCAGUGAAGUGCGUAGAGAUGUGGAGGAAUACCGAUGGCGAAGGCAGCCCCCUGGGCCAAUACUGACGCUCAUGCACGAAAGCGUGGGGAGCAAACAGGAUUAGAUACCCCAGUAGUCCCUGUCUCUUAUAC
Molecule: ribosomal RNA, 301 nt
Filed under: uncultured bacterium
Lineage: Bacteria
Description: partial 16S ribosomal RNA
Rfam family: Bacterial small subunit ribosomal RNA
Source: RNAcentral